AGUCGAGGGGCAGCAUGGUCUUAGCUUGCUAAGGCCGAUGGCGACCGGCGCACGGGUGAGUAACACGUAUCCAACCUGCCGUCUACUCUUGGACAGCCUUCUGAAAGGAAGAUUAAUACAAGAUGGCAUCAUGAGUCCGCAUGUUCACAUGAUUAAAGGUAUUCCGGUAGACGAUGGGGAUGCGUUCCAUUAGAUAGUAGGCGGGGUAACGGCCCACCUAGUCUUCGAUGGAUAGGGGUUCUGAGAGGAAGGUCCCCCACAUUGGAACUGAGACACGGUCCAAACUCCUACGGGAGGCAGCAGUGAGGAAUAUUGGUCAAUGGGCGAGAGCCUGAACCAGCCAAGUAGCGUGAAGGAUGACUGCCCUAUGGGUUGUAAACUUCUUUUAUAAAGGAAUAAAGUCGGGUAUGGAUACCCGUUUGCAUGUACUUUAUGAAUAAGGAUCGGCUAACUCCGUGCCAGCAGCCGCGGUAAUACGGAGGAUCCGAGCGUUAUCCGGAUUUAUUGGGUUUAAAGGGAGCGUAGAUGGAUGUUUAAGUCAGUUGUGAAAGUUUGCGGCUCAACCGUAAAAUUGCAGUUGAUACUGGAUAUCUUGAGUGCAGUUGAG
Molecule: ribosomal RNA, 607 nt
Filed under: uncultured Bacteroidales bacterium
Lineage: Bacteria; Pseudomonadati; Bacteroidota; Bacteroidia; Bacteroidales
Description: bacterial SSU rRNA
Rfam family: Bacterial small subunit ribosomal RNA
Source: RNAcentral